This 233-nucleotide long non-coding RNA is filed under the name Lupinus angustifolius (narrow-leaved blue lupine). Its description in RNAcentral is "long non-coding RNA (LANG_LNC000166)". Lineage: Eukaryota; Viridiplantae; Streptophyta; Magnoliopsida; Fabales; Fabaceae. The record is from RNAcentral.
UUCUAACUCCAGAGUCUCAGGAAGCUAUAGGCAAGGACCUUAUUCUAGAACAGUUACAGUGGAGUCCAAACCUAACAUGGAAAGGAAGGGAGAAAGUGCCAAUAACAAUGAAGUCAGUGGGGGAAGCAGACCCAGGGGAGGGGAGUUUAAACAAUUGUCAAAUGCCGAACUCAAAGAGCGAAGGGAGAAAGGGUUAUGUUUUCGGUGUGAUGAACCGUAUAACAAAGAUCAUA